GGGGGAUAUUGCGCAAUGGGGGAAACCCUGACGCAGCAACGCCGCGUGAAGGAAGAAGGUCUUCGGAUUGUAAACUUCUUUUGUCAGGGACGAAGAAAGUGACGGUACCUGACGAAUAAGCUCCGGCUAACUACGUGCCAGCAGCCGCGGUAAUACGUAGGGAGCGAGCGUUGUCCGGAUUUACUGGGUGUAAAGGGUGCGUAGGCGGCCGAGCAAGUCAGUUGUGAAAACUAUGGGCUUAACCCAUAACGUGCAAUUGAAACUGUCCGGCUUGAGUGAAGUAGAGGUAGGCGGAAUUCCCGGUGUAGCGGUGAAAUGCGUAGAGAUCGGGAGGAACACCAGUGGCGAAGGCGGCCUACUGGGCUUUAACUGACGCUGAGGCACGAAAGCAUGGGUAGCAAACAGGAUUAGAUACCCUGGUAGUCCAUGCCGUAAACGAUGAUUACUAGGUGUGGGGGGAUUGACCCCUUCCGUGCCGCAGUUAACACAAUAAGUAAUCCACCUGGGGAGUACGACCGCAAGGUUGAAACUCAAAGGAAUUGACGGGGGCCCGCACAAGCAGUGGAGUAUGUGGUUUAAUUCGAAGCAACGCGAAGAACCUUACCAGGUCUUGACAUCGAGUGACGUAUCCAGAGAUGGAUAUUUCCUUCGGGACACAAAGACAGGUGGUGCAUGGUUGUCGUCAGCUCGUGUCGUGAGAUGUUGGGUUAAGUCCCGCAACGAGCGCAACCCUUAUCAUUAGUUGCUACGCAAGAGCACUCUAAUGAGACUGCCGUUGACAAAACGGAGGAAGGUGGGGACGACGUCAAAUCAUCAUGCCCCUUAUGACCUGGGCUACACACGUAAUACAAUGGCGGAGAACAAAGGGAUGCAAAGCCGCGAGGCAGAGCGAACCCCAAAAAGCCGUCCCAGUUCGGAUCGCAGGCUGCAACCCGCCUGCGUGAAGUCGGAAUCGCUAGUAAUCGUGGGUCAGCAUACCACGGUGAAUACGUUCCCG
RNAcentral lists this ribosomal RNA (997 nucleotides) under uncultured bacterium. RNAcentral describes it as "bacterial SSU rRNA". It matches the Rfam family "Bacterial small subunit ribosomal RNA", at positions 356 to 1376 of the family's 1533-position model. The record is from RNAcentral.